This is a long non-coding RNA of Carassius gibelio (silver crucian carp), 3683 nucleotides long. RefSeq lists it as uncharacterized. The record is from RefSeq and is a predicted model, not a curated record. Lineage: Eukaryota; Metazoa; Chordata; Actinopteri; Cypriniformes; Cyprinidae. The transcript has 3 exons.
CAUUCAUUAAUUGCAACACCACUUUUGUGGUAUACAGGUUAUCAUGCCAAUGUGGAUGUUUUUAUGUAGGCCGGACCAAGAGACGUUUCAAAGACAGAGUAUCGGAGCAUAAAAAUGCCAUUAGAAAAGCUAAUUUAGAUUACCCUAUGGCAAAACAUUUUCAAAAUGUGCACAAUAGUAAUCCAGAAGGCCUAAUGGUUGAGGGUUUAGAAAUGAUCAAAAAGAGCAUUCGGGGUGGGGACCGAUUAAAAUUACUUCUACAGAGAAAAACAUUUUAUAUAUAUGAGUUACAGGCCACAGUAUACCCUGGUUUGAAAGAAGAAAUAGAUUUCAGUCCCUUUUUGUGAUAUGCCUUUUGUUGCUAUGUAACCUCCUAGUGGACCUUCUCUGUAUGUGCAUGUGAUUUGUCAUUCAGGUGUUUCUAAUCAGCAUCUAUAAAAAGAGUAAAUUGUUUGAUUGUAAUACAUACCCUGAAGAAGGCUGUUUUUGCCGCUACGCGUGGGUUGUUGUUUUAUCCCCCAUGUCUUUUAUACUUUCUAUCAUGAAAUAGCCAGUUCAAUAAAGGCUUUUUAUAAUUUUCUAAAGAAGAGUGCCUUGGAUUUCCUUCUACUGUAACCAUUAAUGUGUUAGACAGCAAAGGCAAUGUUGUCAUGCUAACGGUUUCCAAGGACAUCGCUGAAAGGAUGCAAAAUGGUAAGUAAACCACAUGACUGUGAAAUAGUUAUCAAUAAGUCAUCAAUGAUUUGUGUAAGUGUUUUAUUUAUCAUUUAUUCCCCCAGAUCAAAUGUUCUUUUCCUCUGUCAUGGUGAAAGUAUCAGCUGUUGAAACAAAAGGUACACAUUUACUUAAUAUACAUAUACACUGUAAAAAAUAAUUCCGUGGCUUAGUAAAGAGCUAUAUUAACUUAAUAAAAUCUUUUGAAAUCAUUUAAGUGAUAUUUUGAGUGGGUCAGGUUAAAAAGAAUAAUUAAAAAUCCAACAAAAAUUUCUCUAAAAUUUACAUAUAUUAUUUAAGUUUAUGUAAUGAAAAUAAAUAAGUAUUUAACUAACUAAUUAUAUUUUUAAUAUACCCUCAAUAUUUCUGGUGAAUUCUAAUAGAAAUAUUUGAUAAUUAUUUACUUGUACUGAUCUGUUUUAGAAACUAAAAUUAAGUAUUUCCUAACAAUUUUCCUAAAUAAAGUUCCAGCUUAAUAAAUGACAGUUUAAAUAAAUAGUACAUUUCGUGGCUAAAGUGAUCACGUGUGCAGCUCCGAAGGAAAAAAAAAUCAGCUUUCCUCAGCAGCGACGUCGACUAGCCAUACUCCUCACAACUCCUGGUAAGUAACGUUAGUCAGCUAAUCCUACUUACGUUUGUAACACUUUAUUAAAAAGUGAAUAAUUAUUAAGCAUUUCCUAACAAUUGUCUUUGUAUUUUACGUCAUCUUCAACAAGUUUUGUAGCUUAAUCGAAGUCACCUGAAGGACGGCUUUCCUCAGCAACGGCAAGGCCUGCACUCCUCUCAUAUCGUGGUACGUUAUGUAAUUUAGCCAGCUAAUACUAAUUAUGUUUCUAAUGUUUAAUUCAGAAGUUAAUUAAGGAUUUCCUAACAAUUCUGUUUGUAUUUUGCAUCAUCUUAAUAAGUUAAACAAGUUUCGCGGCUCAAGCAAGAGGCACCUGUCACUGAAGGACUUCUUUUCUCAGCAACGACGUGAACAGCAUUACUCGAAUUUCCUGGUUCAGCUGAUCUACCCGUCUUCGUACACGCAGAGUUGGCAGAGGAGGUCAUAAAAAUCUACAUCCUUCGGGACAAUGAUGGGGCAGUCAGCGAUAUAGGAGUUGUGAUUGAGGGCAUCACUGUUCUCCGCAAUCUUGGGAAUCUCAGCAGAGCCUGCUGUUAUCUUUUGGGAGUCACGUAUGCAUUGGAUUUGAGAUAUCCCAAGACCCACAAAUACAGCUCGUCUGCAAUCAAGUAAGCAAACGCCACGUGAUCUGCCAUGACUGACGUAUUUGCAGCAAACUACGGGAGCCACAACGUGUCCGGAUUCAUAUCUCCAUUUGCAGCUCCUCCCCACCGGCACCUAUUUUAACAGUGUUGUUCAAUACAAUCAUGUAAUUACCUGGUUUUGAUAUUUUAUUUGAGCUAAUUAUUAUUGCCUCAUCUACAGUUUAUAUAUAAAUAGUCAUACUAAAGUCUGGAUUUCACUUAGGUCUGUUUGUGUUACUCAGUUGUCAAAAUAAUCAGAUUACUUGAUUACCAAAAUAAAUCAUUAGUUACAGCCCUAGAUUUGUUAAAAUAUUUCUAAAUAAAACUACAUUGUUUUACUUUCUGUAAUUAAAAUACAAAUAUUUUGUCAUUAAAAAUUUAUUUAAAAUAGUAUUAAAAUAUUGUCACGUUCUAGUGAACCAAGGAUCUGUAUUUUACAGGGGCUUUAACCCCUGUAAAUAUCACCAAGGAUAUACAAAUUUUAGAAAUGUUUAAUUAUGGCCCUGUAAAAAAAAAUAUUGACUUUGCAAGAUGGAAUCUUUUACCUAUUUUUAAGCUUGGGAUCUAGGUUAGAUUCAGUCCAGCAAAACAUACUUCUGAGAUUGCAAUCUAUAGAUAUUUUCCAGUGUUACCUGUUUCCUUGCCCAGAAAGCAAUUCUCAGAAUGGAAUAAACUGAAAUGCAGAAAAGUUUGGCAUUAACAGCUUUAAAGUUUAUAAAUAAAGCAGAACUCUUGAUCUUGAAGUUAUUUGAUCCUUAUUAUUUAAAAUGUCCAGCUCUACAGAAAUAGAGAAGUUUUAUGUUACACAAAAUAAUGGUUUUGAUACUUCUCUAUGAAAUUUGUUUGGCUUUUAAAUGAUUUAUUCCCCCACUGCUUUUCCUCAGAAGUGCUAUACUACCAAAUUAACAUGCAAAUAACAGUAAAUGUUCAAUACAAGCAAUAAAUAGUCAUGUGUCAACUUAAUAAAUAAUUUCUCCAGCUGACACAGAUUGGUAGUCUCUGCUGCUUAUCUUUGUUCUUCAUUUAAAAGUAUUUGGUGAACAAAUAAUAUAAUCAGUGGUGAGAGACUUCAUAACGAACUGCAGCAGCAUAGAAUCAAAUUUUUCAUGUUUUGAGCAACACAAACAGUUGAUAUCAAAAUGGACUAAAGAAAACAGCUGUGACUUCUACAUCUAUCUUUUUCAGUAGCAGAAUAUUAUCAGAAGUUGAUCUAGGAUGAGAGUUUCUUCUUCUGAACUCCUGUAGCAGCACAUGAGUGGGAUCUUCUUCACAAUGUAAAAGUGAUUUUUCUUAAUCACACCAGUGUUUUUAAUUAAAUUUUAUUUAAAUUAAUUAUGAAAUAAUCAAUGAAUAAUUAACAUUAAUACAGUAUACACCUCUUUCAGAGGCGUUUAGUCAUCACCAGCGUGACAGAAUGUGGAAAUUAGGGCUGCACGAUUAAUUGAGUGCUAUUAACCGAUGUCUUUAAGUGUGGUAACCGUAGUAUAAGCGGAAUAAUUGACUCUGGGACAUUGAAUUAUUAUAAAAGUAGUGGUGAUGCGAUCACGACGCGAAGCGGAGUAUAAUUCAACGGCCCAUCGUCAAUUAUUCCUUACAUAACACGUUUUUUACAAUGUAUAUUGACAAUAAAUUUAACGUGAACCAAUAAUGAACUGCACUGCUACAGAAUUUAUUAAUAUUUGUUCAUGUUAACUAAUGUAGUAAUUAAUGUCAACUAAUGA